This 401-nucleotide long non-coding RNA is filed under the name Sinocyclocheilus grahami. RNAcentral describes it as "lncRNA (ENSSGRG00000054109.1)". Lineage: Eukaryota; Metazoa; Chordata; Actinopteri; Cypriniformes; Cyprinidae. The record is from RNAcentral.
UUGUGAAAAAUGGACUAAAAUCACUUUGACUAGGAUCGGUCAAUACUGUGGCCCUGCUGAUAACUGCAGCACCAACUCGAGAACACCCGAAGUUUCAAUUGAGACUGGCCGUCUAAUUGUACAUAAUGUCACCUAUAACAGAUGCUACAGUUCAAAAACCAUACGAGGACACAAAGAGAUAUUUUAUAAUGUUACUGUCAAAAAAUUACACUAUACCAUCAUAUCAGAAACGUCCAUCUCAAAAUUCACUACUAAAACACCCAACUAUACUUCAACCUCAGACAAUUCCUACAACACUACAUCAUCAAUUAUUGCUAUUGUUGUUGCUGCUGCUGCGAUCUUGGUGGCCAUUGGUUUGUUCGGUGUCUGGUACAUACGCAAACGGAGGUACGUACCAGUGA